RNAcentral lists this ribosomal RNA (1441 nucleotides) under Lactobacillus delbrueckii. RNAcentral's name for it is "bacterial SSU rRNA". It matches the Rfam family "Bacterial small subunit ribosomal RNA". Lineage: Bacteria; Bacillati; Bacillota; Bacilli; Lactobacillales; Lactobacillaceae. The record is from RNAcentral.
GGAUAUGCAUAUACAUGCAGUCGAACGCGUUGGCCCAAUUGAUUGAUGGUGCUUGCACCUGAUUGAUUUUGGUCGCCAACGAGUGGCGGACGGGUGAGUAACACGUAGGUAACCUGCCCAGAAGCGGGGGACAACAUUUGGAAACAGAUGCUAAUACCGCAUAACAGCGUUGUUCGCAUGAACAACGCUUAAAAGAUGGCUUCUCGCUAUCACUUCUGGAUGGACCUGCGGUGCAUUAGCUUGUUGGUGGGGUAACGGCCUACCAAGGCGAUGAUGCAUAGCCGAGUUGAGAGACUGAUCGGCCACAAUGGGACUGAGACACGGCCCAUACUCCUACGGGAGGCAGCAGUAGGGAAUCUUCCACAAUGGGCGCAAGCCUGAUGGAGCAACACCGCGUGAGUGAAGAAGGGUUUCGGCUCGUAAAGCUCUGUUGUUAAAGAAGAACACGUAUGAGAGUAACUGUUCAUACGUUGACGGUAUUUAACCAGAAAGUCACGGCUAACUACGUGCCAGCAGCCGCGGUAAUACGUAGGUGGCAAGCGUUAUCCGGAUUUAUUGGGCGUAAAGAGAGUGCAGGCGGUUUUCUAAGUCUGAUGUGAAAGCCUUCGGCUUAACCGGAGAAGUGCAUCGGAAACUGGAUAACUUGAGUGCAGAAGAGGGUAGUGGAACUCCAUGUGUAGCGGUGGAAUGCGUAGAUAUAUGGAAGAACACCAGUGGCGAAGGCGGCUACCUGGUCUGCAACUGACGCUGAGACUCGAAAGCAUGGGUAGCGAACAGGAUUAGAUACCCUGGUAGUCCAUGCCGUAAACGAUGAGUGCUAGGUGUUGGAGGGUUUCCGCCCUUCAGUGCCGGAGCUAACGCAUUAAGCACUCCGCCUGGGGAGUACGACCGCAAGGUUGAAACUCAAAGGAAUUGACGGGGGCCCGCACAAGCGGUGGAGCAUGUGGUUUAAUUCGAAGCUACGCGAAGAACCUUACCAGGUCUUGACAUCUUGCGCCAACCCUAGAGAUAGGGCGUUUCCUUCGGGAACGCAAUGACAGGUGGUGCAUGGUCGUCGUCAGCUCGUGUCGUGAGAUGUUGGGUUAAGUCCCGCAACGAGCGCAACCCUUGUUACUAGUUGCCAGCAUUAAGUUGGGCACUCUAGUGAGACUGCCGGUGACAAACCGGAGGAAGGUGGGGACGACGUCAGAUCAUCAUGCCCCUUAUGACCUGGGCUACACACGUGCUACAAUGGACGGUACAACGAGUCGCGAACUCGCGAGGGCAAGCAAAUCUCUUAAAACCGUUCUCAGUUCGGACUGCAGGCUGCAACUCGCCUGCACGAAGUCGGAAUCGCUAGUAAUCGCGGAUCAGCAUGCCGCGGUGAAUACGUUCCCGGGCCUUGUACACACCGCCCGUCACACCAUGAGAGUUUGUAACACCCAAAGUCGGUGGGGUAACC